ACGACUGUAGCUUAGCGGUAAAGCACAUCACAAUUCACAUUUGUCUUGAAUGUCUGUUCGACUCAGGCCAGUCGUG
Hymenopellis radicata is the source of this 76-nucleotide non-coding RNA. The record is from the annotation of a GenBank genome assembly. NCBI's taxonomy places the organism in Eukaryota, Fungi, Basidiomycota, Agaricomycetes, Agaricales, Physalacriaceae.